RNAcentral lists this transfer RNA (73 nucleotides) under Sodalis sp. CWE. RNAcentral describes it as "tRNA-Arg". It matches the Rfam family "tRNA". From Rfam's summary of the family: Transfer RNA (tRNA) molecules are approximately 80 nucleotides in length. Their secondary structure includes four short double-helical elements and three loops (D, anti-codon, and T loops). Lineage: Bacteria; Pseudomonadati; Pseudomonadota; Gammaproteobacteria; Enterobacterales; Bruguierivoracaceae. The record is from RNAcentral.
GUCUCUGUAGUUAAAAUGGACAUAACAAUCCCCUCCUAAGGGCUAGUUACAGGUUCGACUCCUGUCAGAGACG